UUCGAUGCAACGCGAAGAACCUUACCUACUCUUGACAUCCAGCGAAUCCUUUAGAGAUAGAGGAGUGCCUUCGGGAACGCUGAGACAGGUGCUGCAUGGCUGUCGUCAGCUCGUGUUGUGAAAUGUUGGGUUAGUCCCGCAACGAGCGCAACCCUUAUCCUUUGUUGCCAGCACGUUAUGGUGGGAACUCAAAGGAGACUGCCGGUGAUAAACCGGAGGAAGGUGGGGAUGACGUCAAGUCAUCAUGGCCCUUACGAGUAGGGCUACACACGUGCUACAAUGGCAGAUACAAAGAGAAGCGA
This 302-nucleotide ribosomal RNA is filed under the name Shigella sp. FC1967. Its description in RNAcentral is "bacterial SSU rRNA". It matches the Rfam family "Bacterial small subunit ribosomal RNA", at positions 950 to 1252 of the family's 1533-position model. The record is from RNAcentral. Lineage: Bacteria; Pseudomonadati; Pseudomonadota; Gammaproteobacteria; Enterobacterales; Enterobacteriaceae.